This 494-nucleotide ribosomal RNA is filed under the name uncultured bacterium. RNAcentral describes it as "bacterial SSU rRNA". It matches the Rfam family "Bacterial small subunit ribosomal RNA", at positions 20 to 507 of the family's 1533-position model. The record is from RNAcentral.
UGGCUCAGGAUGAACGCUAGCUACAGGCUUAACACAUGCAAGUCGAGGGGCAGCGCAGUGUAGCAAUACAUGGGCGGCGACCGGCGCACGGGUGCGUAACGCGUAUCCAACCUUCCCGUUACUCAGGGAUAGCCUUCCGAAAGGGAGAUUAAUACCUGAUGGUGUUCAAAUUCCGCAUAUUAUUUGAACUAAAGAUUUAUCGGUAACGGAUGGGGAUGCGUGACAUUAGAUAGUAGGCGGGGUAACGGCCCACCUAGUCUACGAUGUCUAGGGGUUCUGAGAGGAAGGUCCCCCACACUGGAACUGAGACACGGUCCAGACUCCUACGGGAGGCAGCAGUGAGGAAUAUUGGUCAAUGGUCGGAAGACUGAACCAGCCAAGUAGCGUGAAGGAUGAAGGUUCUAUGGAUUGUAAACUUCUUUUAUACGGGAAUAAAACCACCUACGUGUAGGUGCUUGUAUGUACCGUAUGAAUAAGCAUCGGCUAACUCCGUG